UACGAAGGGGGCUAGCGUUGCUCGGAAUCACUGGGCGUAAAGCGCACGUAGGCGGCUUUUUAAGUCAGGGGUGAAAUCCUGGAGCUCGACUCCAGAACUGCCUUUGAUACUGGGAAGCUUGAGUCCGGGAGAGGUGAGUGGAACUCCGAGUGUAGAGGUGAAAUUCGUAGAUAUUCGGAAGAACACCAGUGGCGAAGGCGGCUCACUGGCCCGGUACUGACGCUGAGGUGCGAAAGCGUGGGGAGCAAACAGG
RNAcentral lists this ribosomal RNA (253 nucleotides) under uncultured bacterium. RNAcentral's name for it is "partial 16S ribosomal RNA". It matches the Rfam family "Bacterial small subunit ribosomal RNA", at positions 524 to 776 of the family's 1533-position model. The record is from RNAcentral.